RNAcentral lists this long non-coding RNA (1718 nucleotides) under Hordeum vulgare. RNAcentral describes it as "long non-coding RNA (HVUL_LNC004888)". The record is from RNAcentral. Lineage: Eukaryota; Viridiplantae; Streptophyta; Magnoliopsida; Poales; Poaceae.
ACCGUAUCUCGACAAACACAUCGCAAAAGAAGGUUACAUCAGAUAGAUCUCCACGAAGAUCAUGGAGAACUUUGUAUUGAAGAUCCAAGAGAGAGAAGAAGCCAUCUAGCUACUAGCUAUGGACCCGAAGGUCUGUGGUGAACUACUCACACAUCAUCGUAGAGGCAAUGGUGUUGAUGGAGAAGCCCUCCGUGUCCGAAUCCCCCUCCGGCAGGGCACGAGAACGGUCCCCAGAUGGGAUCUUGCGAAGACAGAAGCUUGCGGCGGCGGAAAAGUAUUUUCGUGGCUCCCUCUCGUGAUUCUGGAUUUUUAGGGAAUUUAUAGACGGAAGAAGUAGGGCAAAGGAGGCACGUGGGGCCCACAAGCCUGGUAGGCGCGCCCCCCAGGCCGCGGCUAGGGGGCUUGUGACCUCCCCCGGGGGUCCUUUUCCUUGGUUUUCAAGUUCCCUGCGUAUCUUCUGUUACGGAAAAAAUCAUUCCGAAGGUUUUAUCCGUUUGGACUCCGUUUAAUAUUCUUCUCUGAAAAUGGUCAAAAAAACGAAAAAAAACUGGAAGUGGCACUUGGCACUGAGUUAAUAGGUUAGUCCCCAAAAAGAUAUAAAAUAGCAUAUUCGUGCAUACAAAACAUCCAAAGUUGACAAGAUAAUAGCAUGGAACCAUCAAAAAUUAUAGAUACGUUGGAGACGUAUCAGGUGUCACCCUCGGUACCAGAUAGUAGCUCUGUAGCAUCGUACAACUAAGGGGGUGUGAGUGCUCUGUCGGGUCUUGUCUCGUCGAUCAGGGAUCGAGACUUGACGAUAACGCGGGGGCAACUGGACUAAGGGUCAGAGGGGAUGACUGAGCCACCUAUACUAAGCAUUUUAAAGUGUGGUACUCGAAAGUAGCAAUUCAUCAAAAUUAGGCUAUGCAUCAGAUAUAGGAGCUAACUACAACAAUACGAAAAUUCUAAUGCAAGCACAAGGAAGAAAUAAAAUGGGUGAUAUAGGAAUUAUCAAGGGGGUUUGCUUGCCCUUUUGCUCUGCAGACAGAUACGGAUCCUCGACCGGGUGGUAGCUAAUCACCGGAUCAUCACCGGUCUCGGGGGUCUACCGGAAAGGAAGCAACUUAGGGAAACACAAUAAAUAACAGAUCAAUCAAAUGCAUCACAAAGCAUGACAUAGCUAUAUGCAUCGCUAGGCAUGCACUAAUGCGGCAUUAAUCGUUAUAGACGGAUCGGGAAAAUAUCUAACGAUGAUAGGCAACAACUAAACUAUGAUAGUUAAUUAAAUUAAUUAGUUUGGAGUCCUCUUGACAUAGGCUAGUAGUUAAACUAACUAGUAACUAAUACUCCUACAAACUAACCCAGUGACCUAUAGGGAUGGCCACACAGUCUCACGCACACGGAGAGCACACACACUCAAGUACACACACAACAUACACUCACGCUCUCACUCACACGCACACACACACACGCACGCUGCACACUCACAAGCACGUCCACCCAUGGCCAGCCGCAGUGGCAGCUAGUGGCAGUAACAUCAGCACACAUCAAUAACAGCGAGCAGGAUCCACUGGCAGUGAGCAGCAGCUAGUGGAGCAAGCAGAGAAGCGGCGAGGAGCAACGCACCAGUAAGUGCAGCAACGGCAAGCAACAAGAGCACCAACAGUAGGAGCACGGAGGUGGAGGGCGCGAAUGCGGGAAGCGCAGGCGUGACCAAGGGGCAGCCAGGGCGUGCCCCG